Molecule: ribosomal RNA, 359 nt
Filed under: Thermocellio sp. ACD-2018
Lineage: Eukaryota; Metazoa; Arthropoda; Malacostraca; Isopoda; Porcellionidae
Description: partial 16S ribosomal RNA
Rfam family: Bacterial large subunit ribosomal RNA (bases 91-359)
Source: RNAcentral
UAUCUAGAAUGAAAGGUCUGACGAAAGAUUUAUCUUCUUUUUUCAUAGCUAAAUUAAUUUGUGUAUAAAAAAGUUUAUAUAACCUAAGAAGACGAGAAGACCCUAAAACCUUACAAAGUAAAUUUACUUUGUUCACUGGGGAGGUGAAUUAUACUAGCAUGAACUCUUAUAACAUAUUAAGUGAUCUUAAUUAACUUCAAACUUAUACAAAAAGGUACUUUAGGGAUAACAGCAUAAUUUUUAUUUAAAGAUCUUAUUGACAUAAAAGUUUAUGACCUCGAUGUUGAAUUGAUAAAGCAUUGUUAAGUAGGAAUAAUAAAGGCAGGUCUGUUCGACCUUUGAUUUAUCACGUGAUCUGA